Neopelma chrysocephalum (saffron-crested tyrant-manakin) is the source of this 381-nucleotide long non-coding RNA. RefSeq lists it as uncharacterized. The transcript is spliced from 3 exons. The record is from RefSeq and is a predicted model, not a curated record. Lineage: Eukaryota; Metazoa; Chordata; Aves; Passeriformes; Pipridae.
UCCAUAUGGGAUCAGGGGGACCAGGACCCUCCAUAUGGGAUUGGGGGGGACCAGGAGUGUCCAUAUGGGAUUGGGGGGACCAGGACCCUCCAUACGGGAUCGGGGGUGUCCCUGUGGGUCCAGGACCCUCUCUGUGAGAUCACAAGUUCUGUAGGGGACCAGGACCCUUCAUAUGGGAUCAGGGGGGACCAGGAGUGUCCAUAUGGGAUUGGGGGUGUCCAUACAGAGCUGGGACCACCCCCUUUGGGGCCAGGACCCCCCAUAUGGGACCAAGACACUCCAUAUAGGACCAAGACACUCCAUAUGGGACCAAGACACAUAUGGGAGCGGAGCUUCCAUAGGGGACCGAGAGGAUCCAGACAGAGCCGGGACCAUCCCUGU